This 29-nucleotide non-coding RNA is filed under the name Rattus norvegicus (Norway rat). Lineage: Eukaryota; Metazoa; Chordata; Mammalia; Rodentia; Muridae. The record is from RNAcentral.
UGAUUCUUCUGGCAGAGCGUCUUUCUGGU